This 410-nucleotide ribosomal RNA is filed under the name uncultured bacterium. RNAcentral's name for it is "bacterial SSU rRNA". It matches the Rfam family "Bacterial small subunit ribosomal RNA", at positions 8 to 422 of the family's 1533-position model. The record is from RNAcentral.
AGAGUUUGAUCCUGGCUCAGAUUGAACGCUGGCGGCAUGCCUUACGCAUGCAAGUCGAACGGCAGCGCGGGGCAACCUGGCGGCGAGUGGCGAACGGGUGAGUAAUAUAUCGGAACAUACCCUAGAGUGGGGGAUAACGUAGCGAAAGUUACGCUAAUACCGCAUACGCACUAAGGUGGAAAGCGGGGGAUCGCAAGACCUCGUGCUCAUGGAGUGGCCGAUAUCUGAUUAGCUAGUUGGUAGGGUAAAAGCCUACCAAGGCGACGAUCAGUAGCUGGUUUGAGAGAACGACCAGCCACACUGGAACUGAGACACGGUCCAGACUCCUACGGGAGGCAGCAGUGGGGAAUUUUGGACAAUGGGGGCAACCCUGAUCCAGCAAUGCCGCGUGAGUGAAGAAGGCCCUCGGG